AUUAAUUUAGUUUAUCUUAAAACAGUAACUUGUGGUGUUACACAAUCUUCUAUAAAUA
This 58-nucleotide transfer RNA is filed under the name Parabathippus shelfordi. RNAcentral's name for it is "tRNA-His". The record is from RNAcentral. Lineage: Eukaryota; Metazoa; Arthropoda; Arachnida; Araneae; Salticidae.